UCAAAAGCAAACUAUUUGUAAAAUGUAGUAGUUUAGGGACUAAAUUUGCCAUUUUAUGAAACUUUGAUGGUACCAAAGUCAAGGGGCUAAAAUUGCAACAUCGUGAAAGUAUGGGGGAUGGGGAGGCAAAGCCGGUGGGGGUUCCACUGACUUUGUCUUUUGACGAGUGGAAACAUAUAGUAAGACAAAACACGAUUCGUAAAACGCAGUGCGUAAAAGACAAUUACAAAAAAAAGUGUAAAACACAAAGGUAGAUACAAAGUGUAAAACACAGUGCCUAAGAGAUUUCGUAAAACACAAUGCAUUGGCAUUUGCAAAAGUAGGAGUUGUAGUCUAGUGGUUACAAUUGCAAUUUUUUUUAAAGUUGGGCGGGUGUAAAAAUGAAGUAAUAGUACAAGGGGUAAAAAAACAAAUUCUAAAAAAGACAAAGUGUAAAAGAAGAGAGUUGGUGCGUAACUAUAUGUAAGAGCUAAGGGGGUGUUGGUGGAAAUGUAAAAGAAGAGGGUUGGUGCGUAACUAUGUAAGAGCUAAGGGGUGAUGGUGGAAAACCAAAGUAGAGGGUUGGUGCUGGCAAAGUUUGAAAGAUGAAGUUGUGGUUUUGAAAAUUCAAAGUAAAAGAUUUAGGGACUAAAUUUGCCAUUUUAUGAAACUUUAAAGGUUACAAAGCCAAGGGGCCAAAAUUGCAAUAUCAUGAAAAUAGGGGGGCAAGGAGGCAAAGCCGGUGGGAAAACCACCGACUUUGUCCUUUAAGAUUGUAUAGAAUGUCCAAUUAAAGAACCUCAUCUUUAUCAGUUUCAACGACUAAACCAUCUCCUCCAAGAGUAUUGAAAAUUUAAUAUACCGUAUAGCGCUACCACAAACUGGUGAGGUGGCAGUUUGAACCCAUGUAUGUCUUACAUCUAACAGGUCAAAUGGUUUAACAAAAAGGAGAAUGGAUCAAAUGGGUCAAACAAGUUGGAAGCUAUAUGUAUUGUACUCAAAUUCUUAAAGACCUCCUAAAAUGCGUUUAUUAUUAUUUUUGUACGGCUAACUCACGCACCCUCUAAACCUACUCCUAAAUCUUCAAAAAAAAAAAAUCACAGGACUAGAACCCUCAACCUUGGUUUAAAAAAGCGUGCUUAAGCGCAAAGCGCAUCUAGGCGCAAACCCCAUCGCCUUGUGUGACAUAAGGCGCACGAUGUAUAAGAAGCGCAACUGAGGCGCGCUUUUUAGGGUGAAAAUCGACCUAAGGCGCAGCUAAGGCGCACGCUUUUUGUACAACAAGCUUUUUAUGUUGUACAUUUAUGUUUUUUUCAUUUUAAAACAUAUAUAAAGCUUAAUUAUAGCUAAAUCAUAGGUGUUGGAUGCUAAACACUUAUGGGAUAUAUAAAAUAAAUUAUAUAAUCACUUUGCGCUUUGUGUACGAAAAGCUCACCGCUUUUGCGCUUCGCUUUUUAAAAAUCGGUUUUAGACCUCAUAUUUUUGUGUGCUUCCCGCUUUUUUAAACCAAGCCCUCAAUCACAUAAGGAGGUAAACCUUGAUACCACUAGGCUACAAGCCCUUUAUCUUAAGAUACUUUUAUUAAUAGAAGAUCUAACUAAUUUAGUUAAGUCAUAUUGUACACAUAUAUAACUUUAAAAAUAGAAGAAAUGAACAAAAAGAGUGAGUGUAGGUUGGCCUAGCCCGUAAUUUGACCAUUUUGACCCAUUACUCAAAUCCACCCAUUCAGCCACCGCUAUCAAAAAGGCAAAUGAAGAUAUUUUCUAACAUGUUCACUUACCAAUUUGGCUAAUGCUUGCAUCUUGUUAUUCAUACAAGUUUAGGUACCUUAGGUAAUCAUGCAAAAGGGGCAUAUUUGAUAUUUUUUUUAUAAGUUUAGGACUUCAACACGCAAAAAAAAAAAAGAAAAUUUUGUUAAAAACAUGUAUGAUUUUUUUUUUUGAGUAAAUUGCGGUUUUGGGCCUUGGGGUUUAGUGGUUAUUGCUAUAUUUUACAAAAUCCAAAUGUUUUGCAAUUUUCAUGCUGAGGUAUCUUUGUUAUUUCGGUUUUGGUAUGAAAAUUGCAAGACAAUUUAAUUUUGUAAAAUAUAGCAAUAACCACUAAACCACAAGGGCCAAAACUGCAAUUUACUCUUUUUUUUUUUAAUUUUCAUGUAAAAAUAAAGUCCAAGGACUUAUGUAUUAGUUCAAUGAAAGUCAUGGAACAAUUUUAAUAG
RNAcentral lists this long non-coding RNA (2194 nucleotides) under Helianthus annuus (common sunflower). RNAcentral's name for it is "hypothetical non coding rna". The record is from RNAcentral. Lineage: Eukaryota; Viridiplantae; Streptophyta; Magnoliopsida; Asterales; Asteraceae.